UAUAUUGAAUUCUUGUGACAUGGG
RNAcentral lists this non-coding RNA (24 nucleotides) under Cricetulus griseus (Chinese hamster). The record is from RNAcentral. Lineage: Eukaryota; Metazoa; Chordata; Mammalia; Rodentia; Cricetidae.